Molecule: long non-coding RNA, 351 nt
Filed under: Ananas comosus (pineapple)
Lineage: Eukaryota; Viridiplantae; Streptophyta; Magnoliopsida; Poales; Bromeliaceae
Description: long non-coding RNA (ACOM_LNC015836)
Source: RNAcentral
AUAUAUAUAGAAUUAUGCUACUAUACUAUCAAUAGUACCAACCCCUUGGUACUAUUGAGUUUUCGGCCGUUGGAUGAAAGGAUGUGCGGUUAGGAUGAUAGUGGUCCCCGGUUAAAUUGAUAGUGGUCCCCUAGGGUUGAGUGAGUGGUCGGUUUAAUAGUAUAAUCUAACGGGUGGAAAUGAUCAAGGGGUAGAUCUAAUGGUCGAAAACUCUAUAGUACCAAAGGCUUGGUACUAUCGGUAGUAUAGUAGCCGGACUCUAUAUAUAUAUAUAUAUAUAUAUAUAUAUCUUAUUUGAUGUUUCAAUAAAAUUGUAAAAUAUAUCUAAUUUAUUUAUAUUUUUAUUUAAAG